CCGUCGUAUGGUGACGCUGACAGAGAAAGCAAACAGCAGGGCACAAACCAUGCCAAAACCGAAUCAACGGAGUUUGCGUUCUGCUGAAGUGAAUGCUCCGGAGGAACCAUACGCAGUACGUGGAGCAAGCUCAAGGCAGAGUAAACUCCGUAAGAAAGUGAAACUUGUUACUGGAAGAUCUAAGAGACCUAAGGAUGAUGGUGAAAUCCUAGAUUCAAAGAAGAGGGAGUUUCGAGGAAGUAAUGUUACGCAAAUUGAUACGGACAAUGCCGUUGAUGUUGCUUAUAGUGAUAAAAAGUUGUACCUGAAAGAGAAGAGUAGAAGGGGGAAGGUAAUAUCGAAGACAAGAAAUGGAACUAUCUUCGAGCAGAAGAUUGAUGGUGAUAGGGGGUCUAGAAGGAUAAACAGGGAUCGAAAAAGGAAGAGAGCCUAUGCUGAUAUGGAUAAAAGUGAGGAAGAAAUGGUCCAGAAAAAUGUGGAGAUGCCCCGUAAAAAAGUUUUAUCUAAGAAACGGACUGAGCGCAGGGGUGAUGCCGCUAAAGAGAAGAACCCCGCGAGGGGGAAAUGUCAUGAUUUUCAGCAACUUGAGAAGGAAAAGGUCCUAAAAGGAGCAAAGAAGUACAGUGAAACCGAGUCAUUUGAUAACAAUGGCCACAAGAAAUCAAGAUCCAGAGUGAAUGCUGUAGGUAAAGUGGAAUAUGUUAAAAUCAGUAGUGUUGACGGUAGUUCAACAAGAAAAGAUGGUAGAAUCAAAUCUGACUCAAGGAAACAAUUGGAGCAGAAUCAUGACAGGCGUGCAGCUGAAUCUCUUAGAAAGUCAGCAAAGAAAAAAGUUAAUAACAAGAAAAGCCUUGCCGAUGAAUUGAUGGAAAGUAAUGAUUGGCCUAAGAAAAAGAAGCGAGUAAUCCGGAUAGAUCCUCAUGACAUUUCUAACAAGCGGCUAGAUGAUGGUAUAGUCACUGGACAUACCAAAGAGGAGAAAGAAGAUACAGAGAAAAAUAAAAGCACUGAAAUUUCAAAGAAUGCUCAGUUCCGUGCAAUAAAACCUAGCCCCUCUAUCCUCUCUUUUGUAGAAGAUAAUCUCUUGGGUCGGAGGCGCUUGAUUGAAUUACGCCGGGCAGGCUACAACACUGAACUUUCUGCCCCCUUGGACAAUAUCCCCUCCUCUACAAGCUCAGAAAGAGAACGAAUUGAAGAAUCGGUAUUUAGAAAUAAAUUGAGUUUUUUUGCUGCUGCAAAUGUUUCUUCGUCAUUUCCUCCUCCUGAUCUUCCUGAGAUUGCUUUUGCAGGGAGGUCAAAUGUUGGCAAAUCAUCUUUACUAAAUGCUCUUACCAGGCAAUGGGGUGUUGUGCGGACAUCUGAUAAGCCUGGGCUUACUCAGACCAUUAAUUUUUUCAAGCUUGGACCGAAGCUCUGCUUGGUUGAUUUGCCUGGAUAUGGCUUUGCUUAUGCAAAAGAAGAAGUUAAAGAAGCUUGGGAGGACCUUGUGAAGGAAUACGUAGCUACACGUGUUGGUAUGAAGCGAGUUUGCCUUCUUAUUGACACAAAAUGGGGUAUAAAGCCAAGGGACCAAGAGCUGAUCAAUUUGAUGGAAAGGUCUCAAACUAAAUACCAAAUUGUACUGACCAAGACAGAUUUAGUUUUUCCCAUUGAUGUGGCACGCCAGGCAAUGCAAAUUGAAGAGAGCCUCAAGGCAAAGAAGUCUGCAGUUACACCUGUGAUGAUGGUUAGUUCGAAGUCUGGAGCUGGCAUCCGAAGUUUAAGAACAGUUCUAACUAAGAUUGCUCGCUUUGCAAAACUCUGAAAGGUAGGUGAAAGGAAUUUUGACGACCAUUUUUGUGCAGUAUUGCCCUUCUACAGGUAGAUAAUGUGCAAGGUUCUGAACCUCAAUUUCUUUACUCCAAUUUGACCCUCGCCUAUUGACUGUUGGUUCUGUAAUGUCCUAAAUUUGGCUAUUGGUUGUUGGUUGGGGACACUGUCCAUCCUCAAUGUCAUAUGUAUUAGGCAGAUUGUACAACGGGACUCUGAAGCGGAGCCCGUUGUUUAGCGAGGAAAUUUUGUUUAGCAGCAAUAUGCACAAGUUGAAGGUUAUUGUAAGUUAUUCUCAAAUUGACCUGACUUAAAGUUGGGGGUCAUGCCGUCAUGGUAUCGAAUCCUUUUGAGUAGAAUGCAGGAAAAUUGCAUCAUUCAGCAAUAGUGACUUCGCCUUUGGGAAUGCUUAAAGACCGAGAGUGUACUUCAACAGUGAAAGAACCCAGCAAGCACACUGAGCCCGGAAGGAAGUUUGUUUGCCGCAGCAAGGCUUAAUUACAAGCAGUCAGGGGAGCAAUCGUGAUGGCCUUUUGGGUCUGCUUGGACAUGGCGAGCGGCCGCUAUCUCUGGAGGAAUUUGGUUUCAUCUCCUUCUUUGUCAUCAUCACCAUCACAAUCAUCUAUUAAGCGAUGCAGUUGAUAAUUCGAUAUUUC
Diospyros lotus (date-plum) is the source of this 2465-nucleotide RNA transcript. RefSeq lists it as uncharacterized. Lineage: Eukaryota; Viridiplantae; Streptophyta; Magnoliopsida; Ericales; Ebenaceae. The transcript has 14 exons. The record is from RefSeq and is a predicted model, not a curated record.